Molecule: long non-coding RNA, 1334 nt
Organism: Onychostruthus taczanowskii (white-rumped snowfinch)
Lineage: Eukaryota; Metazoa; Chordata; Aves; Passeriformes; Passeridae
Exons: 5
Source: RefSeq, a predicted model, not a curated record
GGAGGAGGUGAUAUUACUAAAGAGGUUUUGCAUAACUGUCUUGCUAUGCAAUUACUUUCCGCCUUCUCCUGACCUAUUUUUGAAUGGAAGUGGCUGUCGGAGCUCUGCAAUGUGCUGCCACUGCUGCUGUCACCGUGCGUGAAGUGAGCUCGGAGCACACCUACGGAGCUGGGCCACUUGGCAAAUUGAGCACGACACACUGCUUUGCAUCCCAGAUGGACUAGAUGUGGAGGAUGUGCACUUCAUUCAGCUGAGAAGGAUGACAAACUUCAGCCCAGAAUCAGUGCCUGUAAUAAGACAAUGAUGUCACUGGCUCUACAGACUAUUGUGGAAGAGGGAUGAUGUGAAUACAAACAGCUAUAAGAGAACAGGAUUUACCAGUGUUUUGAUUUUAAGUUUUUAACUGAAAAUGGAAGAUGUAUUUGGAAAGCACCACCUAGACCACCUCUGUCUUCCAGAGACAUUCUACAUUGUCAUCCACUAAAGAAAUUAUAAGGUCCACAAGUAGACAAGUGACUGAGAAUGUAGAGGACCAGCCUUUCCAAACAGUUAUCACCUUUCCAAACAGUUUUGAAAAUUGAUCCAGAUAUGAAAGCCUUUUGAGCAAGAACUGAAGAAUAUAGAAGUUUCCAGUAGCAACAGGAGCAAUUCCUUCUGUGCUGAAGACUCAUCUUUUCACUAGAACUGAAUGUAUCUUCUUUAUACUCAAUAUCAAGAACAUCAAAAAAACCCCAAAUUUACAUCACUAGAAAAUUGUGUGAAGCUGAAUUUAAGUAGAACUAGUCUUUUUAAGAAUAAAAGAAAACAAGAUGUUAAAAGCUAAUUUUAAUUUGUGACAUGCAGCUAAACCGUCUGUUUCUACUUGUUCUCUGAUAUUUGGAGUUGGCUUCCUUGGACAUAGGACAUCUGUGUUGAUAUGUAGCCAUAAUGAUUGCUAAAAGAAUCCUAAUCUUUAUGUCUAAUUUCUCAGUUAUGUCAUUUGAGACUUAGACAUUUCUUAUAUUAUUCAUCACAGGUAUUGAAAAUAAUUGAAGUAUUUCCAAGGAAGUCUUGAGGACAAAAUGCCAAAUCUUGAGGACAGGGGAGAGUUUGCAAAUUGCAGGGAUGCAGCAUCAAGCUAAAGAACAAGGGAUUAACCAUUUUAGUGUGCAGUACACCAGAGAGGGCAAGAAGUACAGGAGAAAGCAAAAGUCAUUGUAUGUUAAGUACUGAACUAGUGAAAGCUGUCAUAUAAUUUCUGAGAGGGUUGGUUGACUUCUACUUUGUAUCUGUCAUAUGUUUCAAUCUGUGUGCUAUUGUACUUUACUCAUGCAAAUCUAAGUGGAAAUAAAUAA